GACGAACGCUGGCGGCGUGCCUAACACAUGCAAGUCUACUAGAGGUAGCAAUAUCUUUGGUGGCGAACGGGUGAGUAACGCGUAGAUAAUCUACCCUUUAAUCAUGGAUAACCUAGUGAAAACUGGACUAAUACAGGAUGUUAUCCGAAGUUGGCAUCAAUUUCGGAUCAAAGACCGAGAGUCGUUAAAGGAUGAGUCUGCGUAUCAUUAGCUAGUUGGUGGGGUAAAGGCCUACCAAGGCUACGAUGAUUAGCUGGUCUGAGAGGAUGAUCAGCCACACCGGAACUGAGACACGGUCCGGACUCCUACGGGAGGCAGCAGUGGGGAAUAUUGCGCAAUGGGCGAAAGCCUGACGCAGCCAUACCGCGUGUGUGAAGAAGGCC
This 383-nucleotide ribosomal RNA is filed under the name uncultured bacterium. RNAcentral's name for it is "bacterial SSU rRNA". It matches the Rfam family "Bacterial small subunit ribosomal RNA", at positions 28 to 416 of the family's 1533-position model. The record is from RNAcentral.